Long non-coding RNA from Serinus canaria (Common canary), 472 nucleotides. RefSeq lists it as uncharacterized. The record is from RefSeq and is a predicted model, not a curated record. Lineage: Eukaryota; Metazoa; Chordata; Aves; Passeriformes; Fringillidae. The transcript is spliced from 3 exons.
UCCUUGGGGACUUCUCUGAUGUCACCAUGACCAGGGGACACCAUGCCCAGGUCACUCUGGUGUCAUCAUCCUUGGGGACCUCUCUGGUGUCACCGUGCCCACCCCAGGGGUCACUCUGGUGUCACCGUGCCCACCCCAGAGGUCUCUCUGGUGUCACCAUGCCCAGGUCACUCUGGUGUCACCGUGCCCACCCCAGGGGUCACUCUGGUGUCACCGUGCCCACCCCAGAGGUCUCUCUGGUGUCACCAUGCCCAGGUCACUCUGGUGUCACCGUGCCCACCCCAGGGGUCACUCUGGUGUCACCGUGCCCACCCCAGGGGUCUCUCUGGUGUCACCAUGCCCAGGUCACUCUGGUGUCACCAUGCCCACCCCAGGGGUCUCUCUGGUGUCACCGUGCCCAGGUCACUCUGGUGUCACCAUGCCCACCCCAGAGGUCUCUCUGGUGUCACCGUGACCGAGUGUCCCCUGUGUG